AUUACCAAUAAGUUGGUUUGAUGUUGAAGAAGUCAAGUUUGUAGACUCUCAGAACUUGUACAAGAUACAAUAGAGAAAGAUUAAGAUGGUUCCAAAUCAUUUGGUUACAAUUUAGAGUAGGCAAGAGUCUGAUGUUGGUAGGAGGCGACACCCUUCAAGUUUGUCGAUUGCGAUCAUGUGUUCUUACGCGUUUCUCUAAUGAAGUGAGUGUAUAGUUUGGUAAGGAAGGGAAGUUAAGUUCAAGAUUUCUUUAAUGUAGGUACUUUAGCGAGGACCAUCUAGUGAAGAGAUGACUUAGGAACCAGACUAUGCACGAGAAGUAUCCACUCUUAUUUGAAACCCAGUGUUAGCUCAAAAUUCGAGGACGAAUUUUCUUUAAGGGGGGAAGAUUGAAAUGAUCCGUUUUAAAAUAAAAGUGGGGACAAAAAAAAAAAGACAGAGAAUAGAAGAUUAAAAAAAAAAAAAAAACAAGAAAAACAAAAAUCUAACCUUUAAAAAACCCACCGUAACCCCACCCUAUUCCUAAUGAAAAAAAAAAACAAUUCCCUAAUUCUUAAAACAAAACCACGUAAUACUACCCCAUCUACCCACUACUUUUCUAUCUAAACCUUAUGGUCUCUCUCGUUUUUGCUCUGCGUCAGAGAGCAAGCAAUUGAUUAUCUCCCACAAAUUCUUGUUCAUCUUUUGUUCUUUUUCACUACAAGUUCCACACCAAAUUUCCGAUACCAAUAGACACCCAUGAAGGAAUAUUUUGGCAUCCAAGUGGAAGUGCUUUUGGGAUAAUUUUGAGGGUUAGGGUUUGUGCUCUAAGGAAGGAGAAGAGUAUCCACUCCUACAGAAUUGUUCUUCCUAUUUCAUUGAGAUCUGCCGGUUAGUGGUUCGUUUGGUUGUCGCGCCGUUGUAGAGAGCAAUCGUGUUGGUUCUUCGUAACUGCUUGCCAGGCUAAGGUGAUAGUCUGUGCGCCGGUCACGGCUUAGGAUUUUGGGUCGUGACAAAGUUGGUAUCAGAGCUUUGGUUGUAGGUCCUAUUAGCUGCAGACAUGAGGUUGUAAUGGAAUCUUGCUAGUAAAUUGUGAACCGCGGCACAACUUACUUCAAAGAUGCUAUUAACGCCUCAUGAGAGUCCUAAAGUUGUUUCCAAAGUGUGAUUUGAGUUUGUUCCUCAUUCACUGAGUUCCGAGUCAUGUGUUAUGUUUGAUGAAUAUUCUUUGUUCAGUUAGGAUGCCACCUAAAUUAGGAUUUCUAUUAUAAGACGAUUAGCUUGUUAGAACCCUCCGUAAGACAUUUGGGGUCAGUAGCGUUCGACAGUGUAGUGCAAGCCAAAGGCGAUAGACGUUGGUUGUUUGUGGGC
This is a long non-coding RNA of Lotus japonicus, 1350 nucleotides long. RefSeq lists it as uncharacterized. The transcript is spliced from 3 exons. The record is from RefSeq and is a predicted model, not a curated record. Lineage: Eukaryota; Viridiplantae; Streptophyta; Magnoliopsida; Fabales; Fabaceae.